GCCGGCCGCUCCCUUCUAGUCCCCGCCCCUUACAGACCGUGAGCAUCUCUCCCCUAUAGUUAACGCUCUGUACAGGACUGAUGCCACCCUCUGCUUGCAAUCCUGCCCCUUAUAGCAUCCGAGCCCCUCCUCCUUUUAUUAACAGCCUCUGGCUCCGCCUCUUAGUACUACACUUUCUCCCCUCCCCUUUUACAAUGAGAUCUUCCCCAGGCUCCGCCCUUGAUCCUACCUAUGCUCCUCCCCUUCCCCGCUCUCCUAACCUCCACUCCCUUGACUCCCCUGGCUCUUUCUAUGGCGGGGAUUCUCAACCUUUCUAAUGCUGCGUCCCUUUAAUAUAGUUCUUUAUGUUGUGUUUACCCGCCCUACCGUAAAAUUAUUUUUGUUGCUACUUCAUAAAUAUCUGUAGUUUUGCUACAGUUAUGUAUUGUAAUGCAAACAUCUGUGUUGUCCGAUGGUCUCUGGUGACUCCUUGUGAAAAGGUCGUUGGAGGCUACAACGGGGUCGCGACUCACUGGUUGAGAACCGCUGUUCUCUAGGGUCUUCUCAGCCCUGCCCCCGCCCACUCAGGCCCGUCUUCUGGCCUGCCCCUGCUCUGGCCUGGCCUCCUCUGGGUCCAAGACUAAAGUUGGCUGAGUCUUCCACUGAUCUCUCCUGCCCGCCCCUUCCGCUGUCCUCAGGCCUUAUUGGCCCCUUGUCUCCCCAGUAACCAGACUACAACAGUGAGAGUGGAGCUACAGCGACUGGUCAGGCACUCAAGCAGGUAGAACCUUGACCUCGCCUCCCACCCCACCCCAAUCCGGCCGGGGUUCCGAGGUGCGGAGAAGCUGCCCAGGGACCGAGUCUGAGUCAAGCCGCAGGGUCCAGAUUGUGUGUUUUUGGGGAGCUCCACCGCUAUGUCGAGGAUGCGUUUGGGUCCACCCACCAGGAGCGCCCGCUCCGAAGAAGGAAGCGAGAUCUUCCUGGAGGGAUCAGUGGAUGGGGAGCUCAGCCGCCUGCAACGGCAGUGCAAGAUGAUGGAGUUGGAAAGGCGGGCAUACAGCAAGGAAGUUCAUCAGCGCCUCAGGAAGCAAGUCGAGGAGAUUCGGCAGCUGGAGAUGCUUCGAGCCAAGCUCCAGACGCAGAUUAACGUAGCGCAGAGCCAGGUCAAGCGACUGGGAGACAAGAAGCAUUUGGCGGAAAUGGAAUGUCUUCUCAAGUCUCGGGCCCAGGUGCAGGUGGAAAUCGAGGCGCUGCAAGAGCAGAACCGGGCCCUGGACAAGCAGAUCCAGGACUGGGAGACCCAUGUCCUCACGCAGAGUAAGGAGGCCUCGGCUCCCGAUCUCAUCAUGUACCAGAAGAUGAAAAUCCAGAGAAGGAUCAGGAUCCUUGAAGACCAGCUGGACAGGGUCACCUGUCAUUUUGACAUCCAUCUGGUGAGGAAUGCAGCCCUGCGGGAGGAGCUGGAGCUGCUGCGCAUCGAGAGGGGCCGCUACCUGAAUAUGGACCGCAAGCUGAAGAAGGAGAUCCACCUACUCCGGGAGAUGGUUGGAGCUCUCAGCACAUCCUCUACUUCUGCUUAUACUGCCAGGGAAGAGGCCAAGACCAAGAUGGGCAUGCUUCAGGAGCGCGCAGAGAAGGAGCUGGCUCAGAGUGAUACGGAGGCACAGAUCUUGCUGCGACAGAUAUCGCAUCUGGAGCAGCUGCAUCGAUUCCUUAAGCUCAAGAACGAUGAACGACAACCGGAUCCCCGUGUGGUGCAAAAGGCAGAACAGCGAGACUGGGAAGUGUCAGAAGGACUCCGAAAGACCUCCCAAGAGAAGCUAGUGCUGCGUUAUGAGGACACUCUGGGCAAACUGGCCCAGCUGACCGGCGAGAGCGACCCUGACCUUUUGGUGGAGAAAUACCUGGAGUGUGAGUGGGCAGAGUGGACGAGAGGAGGCGGGGCUACCCAGCACCACCCAAAGCACGGCACACUUGCCUUGCCCUGGGGAUCCUGCCUUGUCUCCAGUUUUCAUUCUGUUGCUUGGUGUGCCUCCCUUGCAUCUGCCUCUGUUUCUUUCCAUAUGUCUCAGACUUCCUCUCUCCAUAUCUGUCCCUUGACCCUCUCUGUCUGUUUCCUUGGGCCUUCCCAAAUCUUUUACCAACCCUGUCUUUCUCGGUGUGUUGGUGCCCUUCUGUGGCUGUUCCUGUUUCAUCUGUCUCUGUUUUUCUGCCUUUGUUUCUGUCGCCUUGCAACCCUUAGUGAUCCUUCUGUUUCUAACUCCAUCCCUCUGGACCCCCCCUGCACACCCCCAGUGGAGGAACGCAACUUUGCUGAGUUUAACUUCAUCAAUGAGCAGAACUCCGAGAUACACCACCUUCAGGAGGAGAUCAAAGAGAUGCAGGAAGCCUUAGUCAGUGAGCAUGCCAGUCAGGAUAAACAGCGCAUGCAGCAAGAGCAGCAGUGCAAAAUGUUGCAGCAGGAUGUGGACAAGAUGUGUUCUGAGUCAGAGCAGCUGGAGGGUCGCUUCCAGGUGCUCCGAGGUCAGCUGGAAAAAAUCAAGACUGGGAGGCUGUGAGGGAAGCACGGGGCCCCGACACAACGUCCCUCUCUCAUCCCAGAUAUCCAGGUGCUCUUCGACAAGGCUAAGUGUGACAGCAGUGUCAUCAAGGAUCUCCUUGGGGUCAAGACCUACAUGCGGGACAGGGACAUAGGCCUCUUCCUGAGUACCAUUGAGAGGCGGCUGGUGCAGCUCCUCACUGUGCAGGCCUUCCUCCAGGUCCAGAACCUUGCCCCUUUGGCUGAUGCUGCACUUCUAGCACUGGGCCAGAGCCUACAGGAACCCUCCAAGAAGACGACUCCACUCAAGCCUCCUGAUACCAUGACUCCUCAGGGGCUGUAAUCAAAGAGGAUUACCCUAUGAGCAAGGAGGAGUUGCUAAGCCAAGUCAUGAAGUCGCUGCAGCUCCAGGACGAGGAGGAGUCCGCCAAGAAGCUGGACAGCAGCCCGAGCUUGACUCUCUCCAGUCCACAGAUCUCCCUGGUCACUGUCCCCAAGCAUUCCAAGAAGACCAGUGUAGUCCCCGAAUCCAUCCUGAGCCACAAGACGAACCGAGGCCGUGGCACUGGCUCCGUGAGCCAUGUCACCUUUGGUGACUCUGCCUCUGCUGCAGGCCCUGUGGCCAUGGCUUCUGCCAGUGCCAGUGGAGCACCUGUGUCCAGUCGGAGCUCCCAGGGGGGCCGUGGGGGCUUCAAACCCACGAGCUCCAGCAGCUACCUGGGGUCUACAGGCUACCUAGAGACCAGCAGAGGCCGCGAGAGCACAGCAGGCGGCGUUCACAGCCAGAGCAUGGGAUCUGAGUUGAGUAGAGGCCUCAGUUCCAGCAGUGGCCAUGCAUCCAGUCCUGCCCCUCCCUCCAGGCCCAGCUCCUCUACUAGCAAGGACUCCAGGGGCUACAACUAGGGCUGCGGGUCCCUUCCUGCCUCAACUCUUGGCAGGUUUUCUAAUGUCUGCCCUGCUUCUCCCUAGAGACUCCUUUCUAAUCCCUGUAAGCCCAGGCCUCUUCGGUUUCCCUCUGUCUCUUCCCAUCUUUCCCCAUGGUUACUGCCUCUGCCUUGGCCUUGCCUCUCUGUUCUCAUCCUCCUUGUUUCCCAUCUUUACCUCCUCAUCUCUCUCCCAAGCUUCCCUCCAUCCUAUGUCUCUGUCUCCUAACUGGAUUGCCCUCCAUUGACUAGGUGAACUGUAACUAUAGGAAAUAAAGGUCAGAGCCCUGUUUUUCCAA
Mus musculus (house mouse) is the source of this 3740-nucleotide RNA transcript. It is a transcript of the gene named outer dynein arm docking complex subunit 1, with no coding region annotated. Lineage: Eukaryota; Metazoa; Chordata; Mammalia; Rodentia; Muridae. The transcript has 14 exons. The record is from RefSeq and is marked validated.